AAUAGAUACCCUGGUAGUCCAUGCCGUAAACGUUGGGCACUAGGUGUGGGGCUCAUUCCACGAGUUCCGUGCCGCAGCAAACGCAUUAAGUGCCCCGCCUGGGGAGUACGGCCGCAAGGCUAAAACUCAAAGGAAUUGACGGGGGCCCGCACAAGCGGCGGAGCAUGCGGAUUAAUUCGAUGCAACGCGAAGAACCUUACCAAGGCUUGACAUGCACGGGAAGCCACCAGAGAUGGUGGUCUCUUUGGACACUCGUGCACAGGUGGUGCAUGGUUGUCGUCAGCUCGUGUCGUGAGAUGUUGGGUUAAGUCCCGCAACGAGCGCAACCCUCGUCCCAUGUUGCCAGCGGGUUAUGCCGGGGACUCAUGGGAGACUGCCGGGGUCAACUCGGAGGAAGGUGGGGAUGACGUCAAAUCAUCAUGCCCCUUAUGUCUUGGGCUUCACGCAUGCUACAAUGGCCGGUACAAAGGGCUGCGAUACCGUAAGGUGGAGCGAAUCCCGAAAAGCCGGUCUCAGUUCGGAUUGGGGUCG
Molecule: ribosomal RNA, 531 nt
Filed under: uncultured bacterium
Lineage: Bacteria
Description: bacterial SSU rRNA
Rfam family: Bacterial small subunit ribosomal RNA
Source: RNAcentral